UGGGGAAUAUUACGCAAUGGGGGGAACCCUGACGCAGCCAUGCCGCGUGAAUGAAGAAGGCCUUAGGGUUGUAAAGUUCUUUCGGUAUUGAGGAAGGUUGAUGUGUUAAUAGCACAUCAAAUUGACGUUAAAUACAGAAGAAGCACCGGCUAACUCCGUGCCAGCAGCCGCGGUAAUACGGAGGGUGCGAGCGUUAAUCGGAAUAACUGGGCGUAAAGGGCACGCAGGCGGUUAUUUAAGUGAGGUGUGAAAGCCCCGGGCUUAACCUGGGAAUUGCAUUUCAGACUGGGUAACUAGAGUACUUUAGGGAGGGGUAGAAUUCCACGUGUAGCGGUGAAAUGCGUAGAGAUGUGGAGGAAUACCGAAGGCGAAGGCAGCCCCUUGGGAAUGUACUGACGCUCAUGUGCGAAAGCGUGGGGAGCAAACAGGAUUAGAUACCCUGGUAGUCCACGCUGUAAACGCUGUCGAUUUGGGGGUUGGGGUUUAACUCUGGCGCCCGUAGCUAACGUGAUAAAUCGACCGCCUGGGGAGUACGGUCGCAAGGUUA
Molecule: ribosomal RNA, 547 nt
Filed under: uncultured bacterium
Lineage: Bacteria
Description: bacterial SSU rRNA
Rfam family: Bacterial small subunit ribosomal RNA
Source: RNAcentral